This 449-nucleotide ribosomal RNA is filed under the name uncultured bacterium. Its description in RNAcentral is "partial 16S ribosomal RNA". It matches the Rfam family "Bacterial small subunit ribosomal RNA", at positions 29 to 523 of the family's 1533-position model. The record is from RNAcentral.
AACGUACGCUGGCGGCACGCCUAACACAUGCAAGUCGAACGCAGUAGCAAUACUGAGUGGCAGACGGGUGAGUAACAUGUGGGAAUCUGCCUUGUGGUUCAGGACAACAUUGGGAAACCGAUGCUAAUACUGGAUAAGCCCUUACGGGGAAAGUCUUAAUGCCAUAAGAUGAGCCCGCAUUUGAUUAGUUAGUUGGUGAGGUAAUGGCUCACCAAGACAAUGAUCAAUAGCUGAUCUGAGAGGAUGAUCAGCCACACUGGGACUGAGACACGGCCCAGACUCCUACGGGAGGCAGCAGUGGGGAAUCUUGCACAAUGGAGGAAACUCUGAUGCAGCGAUGCCGCGUGAGUGAAGAAGGCCCUUGGGUUGUAAAGCUCUUUUGUAGGGGAAGAUAAUGACUGUACCCUAAGAAUAAGGUCCGGCUAACUUCGUGCCAGCCGCCGCAGUAA